This 217-nucleotide unclassified non-coding RNA is filed under the name uncultured Thelephoraceae. RNAcentral's name for it is "sequence contains ITS2". The record is from RNAcentral. Lineage: Eukaryota; Fungi; Basidiomycota; Agaricomycetes; Thelephorales; Thelephoraceae.
ACACCUCAACUCCCAUGGCUUGCCAUGGUGAGCUUGGACUCUGGGGGUUUUGCUGGCCUACGGUCGGCUCCUCUCAAAUGAAUUAGCCUGCCAGUGUUUGGUGGCAUCACGGGUGUGAUAAAUAUCUACGCUUGCGAUUGCCCACCAGGUAACCUUCAGCGAUGGGGGUUCACUGGGGCUCAUAGACGUCUUCCCUCGGCGAGGACAAUUCUUUAAC